Molecule: antisense RNA, 47 nt
Filed under: Shinella granuli
Lineage: Bacteria; Pseudomonadati; Pseudomonadota; Alphaproteobacteria; Hyphomicrobiales; Rhizobiaceae
Also listed under: 2 other names
Description: ctRNA
Rfam family: ctRNA
About the family: This family represents a group of ctRNAs (or counter-transcribed RNAs) from p42d and related plasmids. ctRNAs are small, highly structured, antisense sequences which are involved in negative regulation. Members of this family are known to bind to the mRNA of repC causing translational repression.
Source: RNAcentral
AGAGAGGCUUCCACGUGGGCAACCGCUUGGGGGCCUUUUUCUUUUGC